GAUGAACGCUGGCGGCGUGCCUAAUACAUGCAAGUCGAGCGAACAGACGAGGAGCUUGCUCCUCUGACGUUAGCGGCGGACGGGUGAGUAACACGUGGAUAACCUACCUAUAAGACUGGGUUAACUUCGGGAAACCGGAGCUAAUACCGGAUAAUAUAUUGAACCGCAUGGUUCAAUAGUGAAAGACGGUUUUGCUGUCACUUAUAGAUGGAUCCGCGCCGCAUUAGCUAGUUGGUAAGGUAACGGCUUACCAAGGCAACGAUGCGUAGCCGACCUGAGAGGGUGAUCGGCCACACUGGAACUGAGACACGGUCCAGACUCCUACGGGAGGCAGCAGUAGGUAAUCUUCCGCAAUGGGCGAAAGCCUGACGGAGCAACGCCGCGUGAGUGAUGAAGGUCUUCGGAUCGUAAAACGCUGUUAUUAGGGAAGAACAAAUGUGUAAGUAACUAUGCACGUCUUGACGGUACCUAAGCAGAAAGCCACGGCUAACUACGU
This 496-nucleotide ribosomal RNA is filed under the name uncultured bacterium. Its description in RNAcentral is "partial 16S ribosomal RNA". It matches the Rfam family "Bacterial small subunit ribosomal RNA", at positions 28 to 506 of the family's 1533-position model. The record is from RNAcentral.